Molecule: long non-coding RNA, 673 nt
Filed under: Dasypus novemcinctus (nine-banded armadillo)
Lineage: Eukaryota; Metazoa; Chordata; Mammalia; Cingulata; Dasypodidae
Description: lncRNA (ENSDNOG00000051260.1)
Source: RNAcentral
UUAUUAAUUUUUUAAAAAAGAAUCUAUUGUUGAUGCGUUUGUUGUUAGUUAACGGCAAGUUUAUUGAGCACCUAUUACACUCGACGUCCGCGGAAUGCAAAAAUCAAAGUGAGCAUCGCUUGCCAUGGUCCCCACAAGAGGUUACGGAGAAGCGAGAGCGCCACGGACAGGGCAGUGUCUCCUUAAAAUCCAGCCCAGCGAGUGGCCCCGCCAAGGCCGCAGAUCCGCUGAGAACAGGGGUGGCCGACCUGAUGCGUUGCUGAGCCUAACCGUCCUGUCCACCACCGUCCAUUUGAGUUCGACCUUGGCGUCGUGUUCUGCCAGCAGUCCAAGACCUUCUGUGUCCCUGGCUUGGAUGGACAUGCCUGGCUGGUUCUAAAGCAAGCCUCUGUCACUAAAGGCUCUGCUGUUAGAAGGAGCUAGACUGAAAGACUAGCCUCUAUUUCACAGCCAAUUUGGGGUGAAACAUUUCAUCAUUCCAAACUUUUGGAAAACACCGAAUACUCUUCUCCAGCCCCACGCCCGCCCCUUGGGUGAUGAUGGCAUCAAGGGGUCCAGCCUAGACUCCACCAGCCCCACCCUGGCUGGGAAGGGCCCAGCCCUCCACAGGCACUGGUCUACACCCGCUGCUUCAUCUCCAGGCGGACUCCGGAGAAGAGAGGCUCUCGGCCAC